GCGCCUGUGGCCAAACUGGAUAAGGCACCAGUCUACGAAACUGGCGAUUACAGGUUCGAAUCCUGUCAGGCGCGCCA
This 77-nucleotide transfer RNA is filed under the name Gammaproteobacteria bacterium. RNAcentral's name for it is "tRNA-Arg". It matches the Rfam family "tRNA". Rfam says of the family: Transfer RNA (tRNA) molecules are approximately 80 nucleotides in length. Their secondary structure includes four short double-helical elements and three loops (D, anti-codon, and T loops). Lineage: Bacteria; Pseudomonadati; Pseudomonadota; Gammaproteobacteria. The record is from RNAcentral.